GAGAGAUGACCGAGUGGUUGAUGGUGCCGACCUGGAACGUCGGUUUUGUGAAAGCAAACGGGGGUUCGAAUCCCCCUCUCUCC
This 83-nucleotide transfer RNA is filed under the name Nephroselmis pyriformis. It matches the Rfam family "tRNA". Rfam says of the family: Transfer RNA (tRNA) molecules are approximately 80 nucleotides in length. Their secondary structure includes four short double-helical elements and three loops (D, anti-codon, and T loops). Lineage: Eukaryota; Viridiplantae; Chlorophyta; Nephroselmidophyceae; Nephroselmidales; Nephroselmidaceae. The record is from RNAcentral.